GUUCUCAUAUGAUUGCCAAAGUUAAGCAAUGUCGUGCCUGGUUAGUACCUAGAUGAGUGACUGUAUGGGAAUACCAGGUGCUGUAA
Molecule: non-coding RNA, 86 nt
Organism: Acanthosepion pharaonis
Lineage: Eukaryota; Metazoa; Mollusca; Cephalopoda; Sepiida; Sepiidae
Source: the annotation of a GenBank genome assembly